ACCAGUGUAGUGUAGUGGUUUAAAUGUUAAACUAUGACUCUAGAUACCAGGGUUCGAUUCCCUGCUCAGCUA
This is a non-coding RNA of Phrynosoma platyrhinos (Desert horned lizard), 72 nucleotides long. The record is from the annotation of a GenBank genome assembly. NCBI's taxonomy places the organism in Eukaryota, Metazoa, Chordata, Lepidosauria, Squamata, Phrynosomatidae.